CCGGAGUCUGAAUGACAAGGUGACCAGCUAUGCCAGGAUCUGGAUGACAAGGCUAGCGAGACGAGUCUCACAUCGCCUGGUGAUCUUGGGCUGUGUGUGUGAUUGGACUGACGAGGACGUCAAGGCUUUAACGUGGGGGAGUCUGUCACACCCCAAUAAUCCCACAUCGGAUAGGAAUGGGGAUGUGAUUGGGUAUAUAAGAGACUUAGACACUAGUAAUAAUAACUGAGCUUAAGCAUUUUGGGUUGAUGGUUAGGCCCAACGAGUUAUUGUUACUAGUGGGCUAGGUCAGUACACAACAUCUCUAGGUUCAUGUUCUCAUAUAUAAGUGGUCAUCCUACCACUAUGUUUUCAACCUAUGUUCAAUGACACUAGCUUCAAUAACAUUCUGAUUCAAGUGAUCUUUCUGCCACUAUAUUUUCCAACCUAUAUUUAAUGAUACUAGAUUCAAUGCCCAAUCAUGUUCUUUCUUAUCCUAGUAAUCCACUGUCACGCCCCGGGGUCCAUUUUAGUUUAAAACAUAGCGGAAAAGCGUUUGAAAUUUUUUUUUUUUUGAAAAGCCUGACCCCAGAGUAUGCCAGAUCCGCCACAAACACAAGGAAUCCACUGUUCACACGGACAGAGUCUCCCCUGUAUUUGCACGGCGUCACACAAGUACAAGAAGUAACCCAGGUACAACCACAACCAAAUAAACAUACAAAUAACCAACAAUUAUAUAUUCAUACACCAUUCACAUCACAGGUUCACAUUUAUAUAUUCGACAUUUAAACAUGAAUCCACAUCUAUCAGUUAAAAUGUUUCCAACCACCGAAACAGAUUUUGAAAUACUAAGAUGCAAAAUCCACAGAAAAUCUUUUGAAAACUGUUUCCUACACGGAAACCUUUAUUCUUUAAAAACGCUACCACGAGGGGUAGAAAACCUUUUAUUUCACAAAAUCCAUUUAUUACAUUCACGAAAAUCCAUAUUUUCAAAU
This 974-nucleotide long non-coding RNA is filed under the name Ananas comosus (pineapple). Its description in RNAcentral is "long non-coding RNA (ACOM_LNC034434)". Lineage: Eukaryota; Viridiplantae; Streptophyta; Magnoliopsida; Poales; Bromeliaceae. The record is from RNAcentral.